Molecule: ribosomal RNA, 253 nt
Filed under: uncultured bacterium
Lineage: Bacteria
Description: partial 16S ribosomal RNA
Rfam family: Bacterial small subunit ribosomal RNA
Source: RNAcentral
GACGAACCGUGCGAACGUUGUUCGGAAUAACUGGGCUUAAAGGGCGCGUAGGCGGGUUCCUCAGUCCGGAGUGAAAGCCCACGGCUCAACCGUGGGAUGCCGGUCGAUACUGCCGGACUAGAGUUCGGAAGAGGCGAGUGGAAUUCCCGGUGUAGCGGUGAAAUGCGCAGAUAUCGGGAGGAACACCAAUGGCGAAGGCAGCUCGCUGGGACGUUACUGACGCUGAGACGCGAAAGCGUGGGGAGCAAACAGG